This 108-nucleotide ribosomal RNA is filed under the name Caerostris darwini. The record is from RNAcentral. Lineage: Eukaryota; Metazoa; Arthropoda; Arachnida; Araneae; Araneidae.
CCAUACCAUGCUGAAUAUACCGGUUCUCGUUAGAUCACCGAAGUCAAGCAUCAUUGGGCGCGGUCAGUACUUGGGUGGGGGACCACCUGGGAACACCGCGUGCCGCUG